GGAUAACCGUGGUAAUUCUAGAGCUAAUACAUGCUAAAAAUCCCGACUCACGAAGGGAUGUAUUUAUUAGAUUAAAAACCAAUGCCCCUCGGGGCUUUCUGGUGAUUCAUAAUAACUUCUCGAAUCGCAUGGCCUUGCGCCGGCGAUGGUUCAUUCAAAUUUCUGCCCUAUCAACUUUCGAUGGCAGGGUCUUGGCCUGCCAUGGUUACAACGGGUAACGGAGGGUUAGGGCUCGACCCCGGAGAAGGAGCCUGAGAAACGGCUACUACAUCCAAGGAAGGCAGCAGGCGCGCAAAUUACCCAAUCCCGACACGGGGAGGUAGUGACAAUAAAUACUGAUACAGGGCUCUUUUGGGUCUUGUAAUUGGAAUGAGUACAAUUUAAAUCCCUUAACGAGGAACAAUUGGAGGGCAAGUCUGGUGCCAGCAGCCGCGGUAAUUCCAGCUCCAAUAGCGUAUAUUAAAGUUGUUGCAGUUAAAAAGCUCGUAGUUGAACCUUGGGCCUGGCUGGCCGGUCCGCCUCACCGCGUGCACUGGUUCGGCCGGGCCUUUCCCUCUGGGGAGCCCUAUGCCCUUCACUGGGUGUAGUGGGGAACCAGGACUUUUACUGUGAAAAAAUUAGAGUGUUCAAAGCAGGCCUAUGCUCGAAUACAUCAGCAUGGAAUAAUAGAAUAGGACGUGUGGUUCUAUUUUGUUGGUUUCUAGGACCGCCGUAAUGAUUAAUAGGGACAGUCGGGGGCAUCAGUAUUCAAUUGUCAGAGGUGAAAUUCUUGGAUUUAUUGAAGACUAACUACUGCGAAAGCAUUUGCCAAGGAUGUUUUCAUUAAUCAGAAACGAAAGUUAGGGGAUCGAAGACGAUCAGAUACCGUCGUAGUCUUAACCAUAAACUAUGCCGACUAGGGAUCGGACGAUGUUAUUUUUUGACUCGUUCGGCACCUUACGAGAA
Molecule: ribosomal RNA, 945 nt
Filed under: Xylaria acuta
Lineage: Eukaryota; Fungi; Ascomycota; Sordariomycetes; Xylariales; Xylariaceae
Description: SSU rRNA
Rfam family: Eukaryotic small subunit ribosomal RNA
Source: RNAcentral